AGAGUUUGAUCAUGGCUCAGGAUGAACGCUGGCGGUAUGCUUAACACAUGCAAGUCGAACGAAAUCUUCGGAUUUAGUGGCGGACGGGUGAGUAACGCGUGAGAAUCUACUCUUAGAUUGGGGACAACAGUUGGAAACGACUGCUAAUACCGAAUGUGCCGAAAGGUAAAAGAUUUAUCGUCUGAGAAUGAGCUCGCGUUGGAUUAGCUAGUUGGAGUGGUAAUGGCACACCAAGGCGACGAUCCAUAACUGGUCUGAGAGGAUGACCAGUCACACUGGGACUGAGACACGGCCCAGACUCCUACGGGAGGCAGCAGUGGGGAAUUUUCCGCAAUGGGCGAAAGCCUGACGGAGCAAUACCGCGUGAGGGAGGGAGGCUCUUGGGUCGUAAACCUCUUUUAUUAGGGAAGAAGAUCUGACGGUACCUGAGAAUCAGCUCGAUGCGCC
RNAcentral lists this ribosomal RNA (447 nucleotides) under uncultured cyanobacterium. RNAcentral's name for it is "bacterial SSU rRNA". It matches the Rfam family "Bacterial small subunit ribosomal RNA", at positions 8 to 509 of the family's 1533-position model. Lineage: Bacteria; Bacillati; Cyanobacteriota. The record is from RNAcentral.